UUUAUGGCCCUUCUGUGCCAUCUGAAUGGUACAAAAGGCUAAAAAACAGCCUGAGCAUCUGUGUUACUCUCUGCACCACUAUGGUAAUGAAAAUCCACAAAUGCUUAAAGGAAUAAACAACAUUCCAAGUUUCCUGAGGUUAUAUAAAAGAAAUAUUUAUUCUAUCUGAAAAAGACUAUGCAGAGAAGUAUUGGAGUUUAAGAAAAAAAAAAGUCAUAAUGUGUUCACAAUGUGAGGGAGAAGAGCAGCACAGCAAGCAACCUUAACUAGGCUGUUUCCAAACUUUUGACUGCCUAACCAUGCAGCCUUAAUGCUCUGUUACCAUAUUUGUCAUGCACACAGAAUUAUAUAGAUAUAUAUAAUACCAACUGUCUGGCUAGAUAUAGAUAUCUUAUUUUUAUUGGAAUUUUAUCCUCAGCCUCCUCUCUGCUUCUCUUUUCACAGUUUUUCUUAAGCAGAAUGUGAAACUAAUACUUUCAAAUUUCAGCUGCACUUUUGAACUCGUGAUAUUUGAAAGCAAUUUUUUUCUCAUCACAACCUGAAACUGAUAUGUUGUUACACAGGAAAUGUUGCACAUCUCAAAACUCUCCACUCACAGAAGAGGCAGAAUGUAUCCUUUUGAAGGUGUGGGAUGCAUGUGAAAAAGUAUCAAGAUUACUCGGCUCCUUGGAAAUUAUCACUGCAACUCUUCUCUGCCUCUCUUUUUUCUUUCCACAAGUGCCAAAAUUGUCUCCUAAAAAUGCUUAAAAUUCAUCUUCUGUCAUGUAGAUGCUGGAGUUUAUUUUGAAAUGCAAGCUUGUCUGAGAAAGCUGUAUUAUGCACGGGUUUAUGAUACAUAAAAGUAUCAACAUAAAGUAAAUCCAAACUCAGGUCCACAUUUAGAUCUAAGAAAGGAAUUAGUAAAGCACUUAAAUGAUCCCCCAAGGUUAAAUCCUACCUGCCCAAUGAAAGCCAGUGACACUGGAGCCCUCCAAGGUCUGUGAUGACCAAAGGAUCUUAGCACCCAAGUAGUCUCAAAGAUUUAGGUACCUAAAUCUGAAAUCUAUAGACGGACAAUUUCUUCCUAUUUUAUUACAAAGGAAUUUGAUUUUGGUGGCAAAGAGAAGGGACAGAAAAUGAAGCGUCCUCUUGCCUAGCGAGGUCCAUGUCUUGAAAAUGUGUCAGUUAAACAAUCUUCAAAGCAAGGAGACUCCUGAUCCAAAAGGAAUAUCAGGAGAGAGAUUGCUUUUUGUCACUUCUGAGCAGGAUCAGAUGCACGAUAGGAACACCAGGGAAAUUUCUGGUGAACAUCCAAGUAUCUUUAUCCUUUUGGAUGCCAGCGAGGUUAAGAAAGGGUUUUGUGGUUUUGGAUUGAAUGACUAAAUCUCACAUAAAACCUACCCAGGAUAUCUAACUGCUUCUGCUGAAUUGAUUUUGGUUCCUACUGUUUUUUCCUGAUUACUUUUACAUAUAUAUAUAUAUUUAUUCCUUACACGUAUGCAUUUUAACCCAUAACUGCUGCUGUGUUAUGUGGCAAAUCCAAUUUUGAUAAAGCAAACCAGAUUAUCAGAAAAUACCUUCAAAAUGGCCAGUGUGAGGCUUCCACCAAGAUUUAUCAACAAAUGAGGCAGAAAACACCCACAUUAUGGAACCAGAAAAAG
Non-coding RNA from Cyanistes caeruleus (blue tit), 1640 nucleotides. The record is from RefSeq and is a predicted model, not a curated record. NCBI's taxonomy places the organism in Eukaryota, Metazoa, Chordata, Aves, Passeriformes, Paridae.